RNAcentral lists this ribosomal RNA (584 nucleotides) under Leptodontidium sp. bc_gw_9594d. Its description in RNAcentral is "eukaryotic LSU rRNA". The stretch from base 231 to 384 matches the Rfam family "5.8S ribosomal RNA". The record is from RNAcentral. Lineage: Eukaryota; Fungi; Ascomycota; Leotiomycetes; Helotiales; Leptodontidiaceae.
AGCAAAGGAUAGACAGCGCCCGCGGAGCUCGCUCCCGGGGCUACCCUACUCCCGUAGGGUUUAGAGUCGUCGGGCCUCUCGGAGAAGCUCGGUCCUGAACUCCACCCUUGAAUAAACUACCUUUGUUGCUUUGGCGGGCCGCCUCGUGCCAGCGGCUUCGGCUGUUGAGUGCCCGCCAGAGGACCCCAACUCUUGUUUUUAGUGAUGUCUGAGUACUAUAUAAUAGUUAAAACUUUCAACAACGGAUCUCUUGGUUCUGGCAUCGAUGAAGAACGCAGCGAAAUGCGAUAAGUAAUGUGAAUUGCAGAAUUCAGUGAAUCAUCGAAUCUUUGAACGCACAUUGCGCCCUCUGGUAUUCCGGGGGGCAUGCCUGUUCGAGCGUCAUUAUAACCACUCAAGCUCUCGCUUGGUAUUGGGGUUCGCGGUUUCGCGGCCCCUAAAAUCAGUGGCGGUGCCUGUCGGCUCUACGCGUAGUAAUACUCCUCGCGAUUGAGUCCGGUAGGUCUACUUGCCAGCAACCCCUAAUUUUUUUAAGGUUGACCUCGGAUCAGGUAGGGAUACCCGCUGAACUUAAGCAUAUCAAA